AUUGAACGCUGGCGGCAUGCUUUACACAUGCAAGUCGAACGGUAACAGGCCGCAAGGUGCUGACGAGUGGCGAACGGGUGAGUAAUGCAUCGGAACGUGCCCAGUCGUGGGGGAUAACGCAGCGAAAGCUGCGCUAAUACCGCAUACGAUCUAUGGAUGAAAGCGGGGGACCGUAAGGCCUCGCGCGAUUGGAGCGGCCGAUGUCAGAUUAGGUAGUUGGUGGGGUAAAGGCUCACCAAGCCAACGAUCUGUAGCUGGUCUGAGAGGACGACCAGCCACACUGGGACUGAGACACGGCCCAGACUCCUACGGGAGGCAGCAGUGGGGAAUUUUGGACAAUGGGCGCAAGCCUGAUCCAGCAAUGCCGCGUGCAGGAAGAAGGCCUUCGGUUGUAACUAGCUUUGUACGG
This 409-nucleotide ribosomal RNA is filed under the name uncultured bacterium. RNAcentral's name for it is "bacterial SSU rRNA". It matches the Rfam family "Bacterial small subunit ribosomal RNA", at positions 30 to 442 of the family's 1533-position model. The record is from RNAcentral.